CGCUUGGCCCGCUGCACUCUUCGCUGUCGCGAAGAAUGGGCCAAGAAUGGGGCCCGCUUUGCUUGGGUUCCGUUGGAGCGGGAAUAACAUCUCCGUACUUAAGUCACGCGACGGCCAAUCGGCAUUCGAGUUAUGCAACAUUCUCGGAAGCGAGUGCACCCAGCGACCUUUUAAGCGCGUCUUGCCCGCUCCAAGUCACCACUGCCACUUCAGAGCUGACCGCGGUCGCAGCCCAGGUUCCGAGAAACUCUUGAGGAUACUAGCUAGAUGAGCGCAGGACCACGAAGUGCAAUUAGUUCCAGUCAAGUUCCGAGUCAUCUGAAGUAGAGUGCUGCCCACCAUGACGACGCACUGCCUCUGGUCGACUUUCCUUGGCCUGCUGGCCGUGCUCUCCAUGGCGACCAGUCGCUCGGUCCGCCAAGCGCCAGGUGGAUAUCCGCACGUCCUGCCCGCCGGCUACUACGGGCAGCCCUUCUACUACCAACCGCCCUACGGAUACGGCUACCAGGCGCCGCCCCCGGUUUUCAGCCCACCUGGCACCUACUACGAUAAUGUUUACGGCGUCUACAAGACCUAUCCCGGCGGUGGUUAUCCGGUGCGGUUCGAUUACAAUAAUCGUUGCUCUCGCAACUACAUUGGUAUCAAGCCCCACCCCGAUCAGCAUCAGUACUAUUAUGUCUGCAAGCCGAACUGUGUUAUCUUCAGCAAGUGCCGGAAUCAUGAGAGUUUCAACUCGAGCAGCGGGAGCUGCGUGCCGCACGUUCCGCAGCACAGACCGAACCACAGGACGCCGCAGUGCGAGAAGGAGGGUCGCUUCCCACACCCACACGACUGCAAGGUUUACUACAGAUGCGACAAGAAUCAGACUCAGCCCUGGCUGUUCGCUUGCCCCGAGGGCACGAUCUUCUCGCCGGUGGAACGCAAGUGCCUGCCCGGGGAUCAGUGCCCCUCGACGGAGAUCUCCGAUAGUGGCAGCUACAUCCCGCAGAACUGCGAGCUCAAGUUCCCCGAGUGCGCCGAGGAGGGCACGUUCCGCUCGCCGACGGACUGCGCCCUCUACUACACGUGUCGCUUGCAGGAGAGCGGUACCUAUCUGCAAACGCGCUUCAAGUGUCCCGGCAGCAACAGCUUCGACCUCGAGCGCAAGCUGUGCCGUCCGCGCAGCGAAGUCGACUGCUUUGACAUUGUUCCGGCACCCUACCACGCCCCACAGCCUUACUAUCCUCCCUACCCAGCUGCACCGCUCUUCGAGGAGGACGACUACGACGCGGACGCCAAGGAACUGGAGCCCGCUCUCAAGUCCGAUAAAAUCCAGUUGCCGGACGGCAUUCAAAGGCCCUCGGUAAACGUCGUCAUACUGCCUACGACGACUACGCCAGCGACUACAACCGCAUCGAAGCGCACUACCGAGGAUCACAAAUACCACCCGUAUCCGUCGUAUCCCUCGUAUCCCUCGUAUCCCUCGUACCCGUCAUACCCUUUGUACCCCUCUUAUGACCACACCUCCCACGAGCAUGGUAAAGAACAUGAUGUAAAAGAGGACGCCUUGAACCGAUUCAAGUUGUCGGAGCAUGUUGUAAUCUUGCCCACAACACCAGCGACUACGUCUACCAGAGAUGAGCUUUCAAGGGAUACAACAAAAUACCAAUACAAAAGGUACACUUAUGCAACCGAGACUCCGGAGUACAAAUCGCCUUUGAAGGGCUUGAAACUUUCGCAAAAUGUUGUUGUCUUACCAACUUCGACCUCCAAGGCUACCACAAAACCUACAGUACCGACAUGUCCCACUCUGCCGACAUUAGCUACUACAACGGAAUCGAGCCCAGCUACGACUACAAAACAAACAACUACAAGUACCCCAAAACCUUCAACAAGUACCAAAAAACCCAAAACGACGACUCCGAAACCAUCUACUGUGACGACCACUCAGAAGCCAAGUACGACAACUAGGAAAUCCACAACAGUUACCAAGAAACCUAUCACAACGACUUUGAAAACCACUAAAGUUACAACAACUACACAAAAGCCAAGCUCCACUACUCAGAAGUCCUCAACAGUUACGACCACUGAAAAGCCAUCCACAACAAGUGCUAAGCCUGCUAUUAGUACAGAGAAACCAACCACAACUACAGUGGACACCUCGACAGUGACUACGACCACUCAAAAGCCAACAACAACUACUUCUUCGACUACAAAAACAACGAAGACAAGUACAGUGACAACAACUACACAAAAACCAACGAUUACUACUCAAAAAUCCUCAACAGUUGUUACGAGCACUGAAAAGCCAACCACAACUAGUCCUAAACCUACAACAAGUACCAAAGACCCCUCCACAGCGGCAACUACUACUCAAAAACCAACUACAGUCACUACUUCCACCCAAAAGCCAACAACUACUACUCUUCAGCCCACAACAACUACCCAGAAGACAACAACGACGGCUCUGAAGACAACCAAAUUGACAACGACUUCUCAAAGCCCAACGACUACUUCUGAAAAAACCUCAACAGUUACAACAACGAGCAAGCAAACAACAAAAACCGAAAAACCAACUUCAACUUCCGAAGCAACCUCUCCAAUAACCACGACUGAAGAACCAACAACUACUACUGCAAAACCGACAACAACGACCCAGUUCACGUCACCAUCCUCUCAAAAACCAACGACAUCUGAUCCGAAAACGUCUUCAACCUCAACAUCUAAUAGGACCACGAGAAAAACAACAGAUAAUACUCAAAACCCUACAACAAGUACCGAAAAACCCGGCACAACAACUGCGAAAACAAGUACCAACAUAUCAACCACUCAGAGACCAACAACACUGCCCGAGACAACGACAACGACGACUCAAAAACCAACUCAACCAACAACAUCUGAUCCACCGAAAACGUCUUCAGUGACCACAACCACACAAAAGUCAUCGACUACCACCCAACAACCUACAACACUCUCCCAGGAGACAACGAAAACGACUCCUGAGUCAACAACAACAACGACAUCAACCACUCAACAACAAACUACUCCUCAGAAAACCUCAACAUCUAUUAGGACCACGAGAAAAACAACAGAGAAUACUCAAAACCCCACAACAAGUACCGAAAAACCAGCCACAACAACUGCAAAAACAAGUACCAACAUAUCAACCACUCAGAAACCAACAACAGUGCCCGAGACAACGACAACAACCACGACCACAAUAAAAUCAACAACAUCUGAUCCGAAAACCUCUACUGGAACUACGACCACAGAAAGAGUAACAACUACCACUCUUACACCGACUACAACCUCCCGAAAGACAACAGAAACAACUCCUAAGUCAACGACAACGACCACUCAAAAAUCAACUACUGAGGAAACCUCAACAUCUAAUAGAACUUCGAGAAAAACGACAAGCCCCAUAACAAGUACUGAAAAACCUGCCACAACGACUUCAAAAACAACUACUGACAUAUCAACUACUCAGAAACCAACAACAACGACCGAGACAACGACAACGACUACGCAAAAAACAACAACAUCUGAUCCGAAUACCUCCAAAGGGUCCACGACUACACAAAAGAUAACAACUACCACCCAAGAACCAGCAACAUCCUCCCAGAGGACAACGAGUACGACUCCUACGUCAACAACUACUGUGCAACCAAUAACAAGUACCGAGCAAUCGACAACGACCGCUCAAAAGUCAACAACGACUGGUCAGGAAACCUCAACACCUAAUAGGACCACCAGAAAAACAACAUCGAAUACUCCGAAUCCUACAACAAAUACCGAAAAGCCCGCCACAACGAGUACAAAAACAACCACUGACGCAUCAACUACUUUAAAAUCUAGUACAACCUCUCAACAAACUUCGACAGCUACUACUACCAGCAAUCAAACAACAUUAAGUACUCCUAAGCCUACAUCGAGUUCUGAAAGGCCUAACACAUCUACUCAGAAGACCUCUACAGUAUUUUCGACCCAAGAACCGACUACAACUACUCCCAAAUCUACAACAACGACCCAGACAACUACGACCUCAACGAAACCAAUUACAAGCACACCAAGUCCAAGCACUACGACAUUAAGUACUCCUAAACCUACAACGAGUUCUGAAAGGCCCAACACAUCCACUCAGAGGACCUCUACAGUAUCUUCUACAGUAACGAGUACAGAAACAACCACUGACGUAUCAACUACUAUAAAAUCAAGUACAACCUCUAAACAAACUUCGACUCCUAAACCUACAACAAGUUCCGAAAGACCUAGCACAUCUACUGAGAAGACCUCUACAGUAUCUUCCACCCAAAAGCCGAGCACAACUACUUCCAAUCCCACGACCUCAGCGAAACCAAUAACAAGCACACCAAAUCCGAGCACUACGACUCGUAAAUCGUCAUCAGUUGCGGCGUCAAGUACAAGUAUCGGGACCACGAGGCAUCCGACUACCACUACCACGGUAAUCUCAAGCAGCACGGAGCUAACCACUGCCACUCGACCGGCCUGUCCUGAUCACGACUCCACCUCAGAUACAAACAGACACUCCGCAUGCACACAAGAACUCCGCCUCGUGAAACAACUCCCUCUACACGCACAGCAAACACAACACGCCACAGAAUCAGAGUUCGCUGGGCGGUCGAAUAGUUUGGGAGGGCGGGAUGAGCCAGACAUGGACUACAUGGACGAUGCUCCGUCCUCCGGCGAGGGGAAUCCUGGUGGGGAUGGGGCGACGACAGCAAGGGCUCCGACCAUGUCCACGCUGGCGGCGGCCCACCUGCUGCGGAAGCUGUUCCACUCAAUCUCCACCACUCCGCCGAGCAGGGAGCGUUCCUCCAGCCAACGGCCGCCGGGAGUGACGCUCUCCCAGAUGGCCAGGCACAACCUGGCCACCUCGAAGCCCUUCAUCGCCCACUCCCUGCGGCUCUCCCUCCAGCAGCUGGCCUCCGCCCAGGAGCACUUCGUUCCGCCCAAGCCGCUCGUGGCACCACCGAACUCCGCCAAGAAGGAGCCGCAGGACUCCGAGUACGACGACAGCGAGACGUCGGAGCAGUAUCUCGACGAGGAGAACGAGGUGCUGCCGUUGCCCAGAACCCUGCCAGUGGCCAUGUCCAGCUCAACCGUGGCUGCCGUGCUCCCGGCUCCAUCGACGACCACCGAGCAGACACUUCCCGAAACCAGUUCCGCUCCAAGUCGGACGAGUGCCGCAGCUUCAGCUUCCUCCACCACCACCACCACCACCACCACCACCACAUCUCAGCCGAUUGAGUCGACGACGGGGGACGUGGAGUACGGCGACUCUGACUAUGCCAACGACGAGGCUCUGUCUGCAGAAACGAGUGCCAAUACAGAGACCGAGAACGAGAUUCCCGGCGGAGCCUCGAGCAUGGAGGCCAGAAAGAGCUUCUUGCUAAGCCUGCUCAAGGAGCGGCUGACUCGAGCGGAGGAGGCGAAGCCGAAGCCGUUGCCAACGACAACAACAACAACCACAGCUGCUCCACGGAUAUCAAGCACAAUGAAAAGCAGCAGCUCUACUGCGAGCACAAGUUCAAGCACAAGUACUGCCGAAAGUACGACUGCAACUGCAACUACGAGAGUGAAAACAAGCACUCCGUUCGAAAAUGAACCCACUACUACCACUACUGAGGCGGCGGUACAGUUGCCAACUAACAAAUUAAGUCACCAGAGCUCAGAAUACUACGACGACGAUGACUACAUGGAGGAUGAACCUUCCAGCUUCUCGGAUGCUGAGAGCAAAGACCGGAAGGACAAAGUCACAGUGGCCAAGGAGCCGCCAGCAGCCACAGCCAAGCGGCACGUUGUAUUACCAAACAAAAAAACGGCCUGGGAUGUGAAAAGUGUGGUGCACUCGAAAGCCGCAUCAGGCGGUCCAGUCCUGAAAGGACUUGCAGCCAAGCCAAAUCCGAUGCCCAUUGCCAGUUUCUUGAAGGGGGCGUCACAAAUCAAUGUUAGGAAGCCACCAACACCUAACUUAAACAUUAAACCAACAAUAAUUAAAGAAAACACAACACCAACAGCUGAAUCAUCCACUGCAGAACCAGCAUCAACACAAACAGAAACAACAACAUUGACAACACUGCCGACCAGGCUACCAAAGGCACUCCUAACCAGCCAACUCAAAAGCCAAGCUGCGAAGCAAGAACUAAUCCCAAUCACACAGCGUACACUAGAAGUGUUCACACCGACCACUGCAGAAACCCUGCCGACUGCCAGCGGACUGGCGGCGGUCAGGGCCUCAUCAGUAGUGGCUCCAUUUGCCCCACUUGCCCCACUACCACCCGAAGCACCAACAACGCCUUCAACCGCCGCAGAGCGCCGGGAAGUGCUGUCGGUGAACAGCAGACCCUGGUUGCUGGCGGCUCGCAACCACACCGUCCGCAUAACACCCAUCUCAUCACAUUCCGCUCGAUCGCCGAGCAUCCCAGUGAGCCAAGUUAACCGUCCGAGUUCGUUCCGUCCACUAGUGUCCAGCCCCGAGGACCUCUCCACCGAGGCGCCGGUGCCGCAGCUCAUCGUGAAGGUGUACGAGCCCAUCGACCUGAAGAUCGUCUUCUGCCCGAAGUCCUGCGACCAGGACCACGACCACAAAUUCGAUAAAGCUUCUUGUCUUACUCCUCGAAUUCCAUUGCGCCAAUUUCAAAGCUCUGUGGAAUGAUCUCCCCGCGCGUUUUGUAUUCUGUGCACCUUGGGUGAAAUCGGACAUCAAAAGAAGACACGGCUGCCCGAGCUCCAAAUGUGGAUACCUCUGGUUUAAGAGGAAGCAAUAUAGAUUCACUGGCAAAUAUGGAUUCGAAUAACUCUUGUAUUAGGAAAAAACAAUGGAGAUCCACUGGCAAACUGAUGUCAAGCGGUGGUUGCUUUCAGCGAUCAGAUAAGGAUACAGAGGGAUCAGAGCGGAAUCAACUUGGAAUGUCCUUCGACGACUGGACUGGCAAACCAACUUUCAACACCU
This is an RNA transcript of Drosophila ficusphila, 6952 nucleotides long. It is a transcript of the gene named mucin-2, with no coding region annotated. The record is from RefSeq and is a predicted model, not a curated record. Lineage: Eukaryota; Metazoa; Arthropoda; Insecta; Diptera; Drosophilidae. The transcript has 7 exons.